AUACGGCCACAUCAUAUUGAAACACCUGUUCCCAUACAAUCACAGAAGUUAAGCCAUGUCAAACCUGGUCAGUACCUAGAUGAGUGACUGCUUUGAAAUACCAGGUGCUGUAAG
Non-coding RNA from Acanthosepion pharaonis, 114 nucleotides. The record is from the annotation of a GenBank genome assembly. NCBI's taxonomy places the organism in Eukaryota, Metazoa, Mollusca, Cephalopoda, Sepiida, Sepiidae.